RNAcentral lists this ribosomal RNA (1734 nucleotides) under Escherichia coli. Its description in RNAcentral is "partial 23S ribosomal RNA". It matches the Rfam family "Bacterial large subunit ribosomal RNA", at positions 1214 to 2925 of the family's 2925-position model. The record is from RNAcentral. Lineage: Bacteria; Pseudomonadati; Pseudomonadota; Gammaproteobacteria; Enterobacterales; Enterobacteriaceae.
CUAUGUGUUGUUGGGUAGGGGAGCGUUCUGUAAGCCUGUGAAGGUGGCCUGUGAGGGUUGCUGGAGGUAUCAGAAGUGCGAAUGCUGACAUAAGUAACGAUAAAGCGGGUGAAAAGCCCGCUCGCCGGAAGACCAAGGGUUCCUGUCCAACGUUAAUCGGGGCAGGGUGAGUCGACCCCUAAGGCGAGGCCGAAAGGCGUAGUCGAUGGGAAACAGGUUAAUAUUCCUGUACUUGGUGUUACUGCGAAGGGGGGACGGAGAAGGCUAUGUUGGCCGGGCGACGGUUGUCCCGGUUUAAGCGUGUAGGCUGGUUUUCCAGGCAAAUCCGGAAAACCAAGGCUGAGGCGUGAUGACGAGGCACUACGGUGCUGAAGCGACAAAUGCCCUGCUUCCAGGAAAAGCCUCUAAGCAUCAGGUAACAUCAAAUCGUACCCCAAACCGACACAGGUGGUCAGGUAGAGAAUACCAAGGCGCUUGAGAGAACUCGGGUGAAGGAACUAGGCAAAAUGGUGCCGUAACUUCGGGAGAAGGCACGCUGAUAUGUAGGUGAAGCGACUUGCUCGUGGAGCUGAAAUCAGUCGAAGAUACCAGCUGGCUGCAACUGUUUAUUAAAAACACAGCACUGUGCAAACACGAAAGUGGACGUAUACGGUGUGACGUCUGCCCGGUGCCGGAAGGUUAAUUGAUGGGGUUAGCGGCAACGCGAAGCUCUUGAUCGAAGCCCCGGUAAACGGCGGCCGUAACUAUAACGGUCCUAAGGUAGCGAAAUUCCUUGUCGGGUAAGUUCCGACCUGCACGAAUGGCGUAAUGAUGGCCAGGCUGUCUCCACCCGAGACUCAGUGAAAUUGAACUCGCUGUGAAGAUGCAGUGUACCCGCGGCAAGACGGAAAGACCCCGUGAACCUUUACUAUAGCUUGACACUGAACAUUGAGCCUUGAUGUGUAGGAUAGGUGGGAGGCUUUGAAGUGUGGACGCCAGUCUGCAUGGAGCCGACCUUGAAAUACCACCCUUUAAUGUUUGAUGUUCUAACGUUGGCCCGUAAUCCGGGUUGCGGACAGUGUCUGGUGGGUAGUUUGACUGGGGCGGUCUCCUCCUAAAGAGUAACGGAGGAGCACGAAGGUUGGCUAAUCCUGGUCGGACAUCAGGAGGUUAGUGCAAUGGCAUAAGCCAGCUUGACUGCGAGCGUGACGGCGCGAGCAGGUGCGAAAGCAGGUCAUAGUGAUCCGGUGGUUCUGAAUGGAAGGGCCAUCGCUCAACGGAUAAAAGGUACUCCGGGGAUAACAGGCUGAUACCGCCCAAGAGUUCAUAUCGACGGCGGUGUUUGGCACCUCGAUGUCGGCUCAUCACAUCCUGGGGCUGAAGUAGGUCCCAAGGGUAUGGCUGUUCGCCAUUUAAAGUGGUACGCGAGCUGGGUUUAGAACGUCGUGAGACAGUUCGGUCCCUAUCUGCCGUGGGCGCUGGAGAACUGAGGGGGGCUGCUCCUAGUACGAGAGGACCGGAGUGGACGCAUCACUGGUGUUCGGGUUGUCAUGCCAAUGGCACUGCCCGGUAGCUAAAUGCGGAAGAGAUAAGUGCUGAAAGCAUCUAAGCACGAAACUUGCCCCGAGAUGAGUUCUCCCUGAGACUUAGAGUCUCCUGAAGGAACGUUGAAGACGACGACGUUGAUAGGCCGGGUGUGUAAGCGCAGCGAUGCGUUGAGCUAACCGGUACUAAUGAACCGUGAGGCUUAACCUU